Molecule: long non-coding RNA, 367 nt
Organism: Cervus elaphus (red deer)
Lineage: Eukaryota; Metazoa; Chordata; Mammalia; Artiodactyla; Cervidae
Exons: 3
Source: RefSeq, a predicted model, not a curated record
AGGGACGAAAGCUCACAGUCUCAGGGUUUAUGGUUAUUGGGUUCCUUUCUGGCUUGUCUCUUGCCAGUCAUUCUGAAUUGACAUCCUUCCUGGGGGCACACGCACCACUCAGCCAAGAUGAAUUCCAGCGAAGAGGAUCCUGGGAAACUGGAGAUCACCACAGGCCCAUAAAGACGGCACAGAGAGCGGCCACACACAUGGAGAGAAUGAGGCCCUUGGAGUCACCUGGAACGGAUGAAGGCCUGGCUUCAUCAGCUCGACAUGUUGGAUCUUAGUUCCCUGACCAAGGAUCAAACCUGUACCCCCUGCAGUGGAAGUGCAGUCUUAACCACUGAACUGCCAGGCAAGUCCGUGAAUUCACUUUUUA